This 351-nucleotide ribosomal RNA is filed under the name uncultured bacterium. RNAcentral's name for it is "bacterial SSU rRNA". It matches the Rfam family "Bacterial small subunit ribosomal RNA", at positions 917 to 1271 of the family's 1533-position model. The record is from RNAcentral.
GGGCCCGCACAAGCGGUGGAGCAUGUGGUUUAAUUCGAUGAUACGCGAGGAACCUUACCAGGGCUUAAAUGUAAGAUGCAUUAGUUAGAGAUAGCUAUUUCUUCGGACUUCUUACAAGGUGCUGCAUGGUUGUCGUCAGCUCGUGCCGUGAGGUGUCAGGUUAAGUCCUAUAACGAGCGCAACCCUUGUCGUUAGUUGCCAGCAUGUAAAGAUGGGGACUCUAACGAGACUGCCGGUGUAAACCGCGAGGAAGGUGGGGAUGACGUCAAAUCAUCACGGCCCUUACGUCCUGGCCUACACACGUGCUACAAUGGUAUGGACAUGAGCAGCCACUAUGCGAAUAGGAGCGAA